GACGAACGCUGGCGGCGUGCUUAACACAUGCAAGUCGAACGGAAAGGCCCUGCUUUUGUGGGGUGCUCGAGUGGCGAACGGGUGAGUAACACGUGAGUAACCUGCCCUUGACUUUGGGAUAACUUCAGGAAACUGGGGCUAAUACCGGAUAGGAGCUCCUGCGGCAUGGUGGGGGUGGGAAAGUUUCGGCGGUUGGGGAUGGACUCGCGGCGUAUCAUCUUGUUGGUGGGGUAGUGGCUUACCAAGGCUUUGACGGGUAGCCGGCCUGAGAGGGUGACCGGCAACAUUGGGACGGAGAUACGGCCCAGACUCCUACGGGAGGAAGCAGUGGGGAAUAUUGAACAAUGGGCGGAAGCCUGAUGCAGCAACGCCGCGUGCGGGAUGACGGCCUUCGGGUUGUAAACCGCUUUCGCAUGUGACGAAGCGUGAGUGACGGUAAUGGGUAAAGAAGCACCGGCUAACUACGUG
This 468-nucleotide ribosomal RNA is filed under the name uncultured bacterium. RNAcentral's name for it is "partial 16S ribosomal RNA". It matches the Rfam family "Bacterial small subunit ribosomal RNA", at positions 28 to 507 of the family's 1533-position model. The record is from RNAcentral.